CAUGCAAGUCGAGGGGCAGCGGGAUUGAAGCUUGCUUCAAUUGCCGGCGACCGGCGCACGGGUGAGUAACGCGUAUCCAACCUUCCGUACACUCAGGGAUAGCCUUUCGAAAGAAAGAUUAAUACCUGAUGGUAUGAUGAGAUUGCAUGAUAGCAUCAUUAAAGAUUCAUCGGUGUACGAUGGGGAUGCGUUCCAUUAGGUAGUAGGCGGGGUAACGGCCCACCUAGCCUACGAUGGAUAGGGGUUCUGAGAGGAAGGUCCCCCACAUUGGAACUGAGACACGGUCCAAACUCCUACGGGAGGCAGCAGUGAGGAAUAUUGGUCAAUGGACGAGAGUCUGAACCAGCCAAGUAGCGUGAAGGAUGAAGGUCCUACGGAUUGUAAACUUCUUUUAUAAGGGAAUAAAACCUCCCACGUGUGGGAGCUUGUAUGUACCUUAUGAAUAAGCAUCGGCUAACUCCGUGCCAGCAGCCGCGGUAAUACGGAGGAUGCGAGCGUUAUCCGGAUUUAUUGGGUUUAAAGGGAGCGCAGACGGGUCGUUAAGUCAGCUGUGAAAGUUUGGGGCUCAACCUUAAAAUUGCAGUUGAUACUGGCGUCCUUGAGUGCGGUUGAGGUGUGCGGAAUUCGUGGUGUAGCGGUGAAAUGCUUAGAUAUCACGAAGAACUCCGAUUGCGAAGGCAGCACACUAAGCCGUAACUGACGUCCAUGCUCGAAAGUGUGGGUAUCAAACAGGAUUAGAUACCCUGGUAGUCCACACGGUAAACGAUGGAUACUCGCUGUUGGCGAUAUACUGUCAGCGGCUUAGCGAAAGCGUUAAGUAUCCCACCUGGGGAGUACGCCGGCAACGGUGAAACUCAAAGGAAUUGACGGGGGCCCGCACAAGCGGAGGAACAUGUGGUUUAAUUCGAUGAUACGCGAGGAACCUUACCCGGGCUUAA
This 938-nucleotide ribosomal RNA is filed under the name uncultured bacterium. RNAcentral describes it as "bacterial SSU rRNA". It matches the Rfam family "Bacterial small subunit ribosomal RNA", at positions 54 to 984 of the family's 1533-position model. The record is from RNAcentral.